ACGCAGAACUCCGAUUGCGAAGGCAGCUUACUAAGCUACAACUGACACUGAAGCACGAAAGCGUGGGGAUCAAACAGGAUUAGAUACCCUGGUAGUCCACGCAGUAAACGAUGAUUACUAGCUGUUUGCGAUACACAGUAAGCGGCACAGCGAAAGCGUUAAGUAAUCCACCUGGGGAGUACGCCGGCAACGGUGAAACUCAAAGGAAUUGACGGGGGCCCGCACAAGCGGAGGAACAUGUGGUUUAAUUCGAUGAUACGCGAGGAACCUUACCCGGGUUUGAACGUAAGGAGACAGGGGUGGAAACAUCCUUUCAGCAAUGACUGCCUACGAGGUGCUGCAUGGUUGUCGUCAGCUCGUGCCGUGAGGUGUCGGCUUAAGUGCCAUAACGAGCGCAACCCUUAUUUUCAGUUACUAACAGGUGAUGCUGAGGACUCUGAAGAGACUGCCAGCGUAAGCUGUGAGGAAGGUGGGGAUGACGUCAAAUCAGCACGGCCCUUACAUCCGGGGCGACACAACGUGUUACAAUGGUAAGGACAAAGGGCAGCUACCGGGCGACCGGAUGCGAAUCUCUAAACCUUAUCUCAGUUCGGAUCGGAGUCUGCAACUCGACUCCGUGAAGCUGGAUUCGCUAGUAAUCGCGCAUCAGCCAUGGCGCGGUGAAUACGUUCCCGGGCCUUGUACACACCG
Molecule: ribosomal RNA, 690 nt
Filed under: uncultured bacterium
Lineage: Bacteria
Description: bacterial SSU rRNA
Rfam family: Bacterial small subunit ribosomal RNA
Source: RNAcentral